Molecule: small RNA, 29 nt
Filed under: Bombyx mori (domestic silkworm)
Lineage: Eukaryota; Metazoa; Arthropoda; Insecta; Lepidoptera; Bombycidae
Description: piRNA piR-bmo-2217850
Source: RNAcentral
UUCUUAAGGUAUACGGCAGUGUUCACAGC